GACGAACGCUGGCGGCGUGCUUAACACAUGCAAGUCGAACGGAAAGGCCCUGCUUUUGUGGGGUGCUCGAGUGGCGAACGGGUGAGUAACACGUGAGUAACCUGCCCUUGACUUUGGGAUAACUUCAGGAAACUGGGGCUAAUACCGGAUAGGAGCUCCUGCUGCAUGGUGGGGGUUGGAAAGUUUCGGCGGUUGGGUAUGGACUCGCGGCUUAUCAGCUUGUUGGUGGGGUAGUGGCUUACCAAGGCUUUGACGGGUAGCCGGCCUGAGAGGGUGACCGGCCACAUUGGGACUGAGAUACGGCCCAGACUCCUACGGGAGGCAGCAGUGGGGAAUAUUGCACGAUGGGCGGAAGCCUGAUGCAGCAACGCCGCGUGCGGGAUGACGGCCUUCGGGUUGUAAACCGCUUUCGCCUGUGACGACGCGUGAGUGACGGUAAUGGGUAAAGAAGCACCGGCUAACUACGUG
This 468-nucleotide ribosomal RNA is filed under the name uncultured bacterium. RNAcentral describes it as "partial 16S ribosomal RNA". It matches the Rfam family "Bacterial small subunit ribosomal RNA", at positions 28 to 507 of the family's 1533-position model. The record is from RNAcentral.